Molecule: ribosomal RNA, 497 nt
Filed under: uncultured bacterium
Lineage: Bacteria
Description: partial 16S ribosomal RNA
Rfam family: Bacterial small subunit ribosomal RNA
Source: RNAcentral
GAUGAACGCUGGCGGUGUGCCUAAUACAUGCAAGUCGAGCGAACAGACGAGGAGCUUACUCCUCUGACGUUAGCGGCGGACGGGUGAGUAACACGUGGAUAACCUACCUAUAAGACUGGGAUAACUUCGGGAAACCGGAGCUAAUACCGGAUAACAUGUUGAACCGCAUGGUUCAACAGUGAAAGACGGUCUUGCUGUCACUUAUAGAUGGAUCCGCGUCGCAUUAGCUAGUUGGUAAGGUAACGGCUUACCAAGGCAACGAUGCGUAGCCGAACUGAGAGGGUGAUCGGCCACACUGGAAGUGAGACACGGUCCAGACUCCUACGGGAGGCAGCAGUAGGGAAUCUUACGCAAUGGGCGAAAGCCUGACGGAGCAGCGCCGCGUGAGUGAAGAAGGUCUUCGGAUCGUAAAACUCUGUUAUUGGGGAAGAACAAAUGUGUAAGUAACUAUGCACGUAUUGACGGUACCUAAUCAGAAAGCCACGGCUAACUACGUG